AGGACGAACGCUGGCGGCGUGCUUAACACAUGCAAGUCGAGCGGAAAGGCCUUUCGGGGUACUCGAGCGGCGAACGGGUGAGUAACACGUGAGUAAUCUGCCCAUCGCUUCAGGAUAGCCAUCGGAAACGGUGAUUAAUACUGGAUAUGACAUUCCUUCGCAUGUUGGGGUGUGGUAAAGUUUUUCGGCGGUGGAUGUGCUCGCGGCCUUAUCA
This 214-nucleotide ribosomal RNA is filed under the name uncultured soil bacterium. RNAcentral's name for it is "partial 16S ribosomal RNA". It matches the Rfam family "Bacterial small subunit ribosomal RNA", at positions 26 to 243 of the family's 1533-position model. The record is from RNAcentral.